RNAcentral lists this long non-coding RNA (360 nucleotides) under Olea europaea subsp. europaea. Lineage: Eukaryota; Viridiplantae; Streptophyta; Magnoliopsida; Lamiales; Oleaceae. The record is from RNAcentral.
GAGACUCUUUUGGAGCCAGCAAAAGAUACUUAAAGGGAUGAUGGUUCAACAACUUCUACAGCAGUUCUAGUUGGCAAUCAUUUAUAUGUUGCUAAUGUUGAAGAUUCUUGAACUAUAAUAUCAAAGAUGAAGGAACUUGGAAGAAGCCAAGUCUUCGGUUCAUUAGGGAGCCUUGUUGUACUGAAAAUGCUUGGAGUUGUGCCAUACAAGUGUUCAGUAGGAUUAUGCUGGCUAUGAUUGGCAACAUUCUUGUAAGAACCUGAAUUUCCUCGACUUCUGUCAUUAUACAAACUGUCCAUGGGGUGGGAUUUGCAUUGUCACCAAGAACUGCGGCUUUGUCUAGGCACCGGCCUCAAGUCG